RNAcentral lists this unclassified non-coding RNA (250 nucleotides) under plant metagenome. Its description in RNAcentral is "partial contains small subunit ribosomal RNA, internal transcribed spacer 1, and 5.8S ribosomal RNA". The record is from RNAcentral.
GUAGGUGAACCUGCGGAAGGAUCAUUAUUGAAAUAAACCUGAUGGGUUGCUGCUGGCUCUCUAGGGAGCAUGUGCACACUUGUCAUCUUUAUAUCUCCACCUGUGCACCUUUUGUAGAUCUGGAUAUCUUUCUGAAUGCCUGGCGUUCAGGUUUGAGGAUUGACUUUUGUCUUUCCUUACAUUUCCAGGCCUAUGUUUUCUUCACAUACACCAUUUAUGUUAUAGAAUGUAAUGAAAUGGGCCUCUGUGC